UGACAAAGUGAGCAGACUCCACCUUGGAGGGGUGUGUGGGGAAGGGACAGUACCAGUGGUGUUGCUGCUGGAUACCAUCCAGGGUGUGCCCAAGCAAUGGGACCCUGUGGCAGGAAAGAGUAGGAAAAGAGGCUGUGGUCAUGCCUGUAUGAUGAGACCUUCAUGAACACCCCUCAACAAUCCGUCGGGGAGCUUCCACCUUCACCUGCCAGGAGGGUGCCGUACCCCAACUCCAGGGAGAGAGAGGCUCCUGGACUCAGCCCCCUUUCAGACUCACUUUAGGUACCCUUCAUCUGUCUCUUCAUUUGUGUCCUUCAUAAUAAACCACAGUAGUGUCCAUCCAGCCUCAUCUGCCCUACAUCAACACCUGAAGUCAUGCAGCUGGGGAGUCCUGGGCAGCUUUUCAGGGUCCCGACUGGGACGUCCCGAACAGAGCAUUCUCUCCACAGCACCAGCCUAAUCUUCUCCUGGGAACCCCUCAUUUGCUGUAUCCAACAAUCCUAGAGGACUGUGCUGCCAUCAUCAGGGACGUGGGAAGGUGCUUCUGUACUGUCCACAUAGAUGCACACGCUGUCGGGAGGCCGAGAAGAAAACAUUGUCAGCAAGCACAACGUGGAGUCAGGUACAUUUACACAGUUUGGAUCCAAAGCAGAAAGCCUGUUGGAAGGUAGAGGAGUCACCCAUAGUGGAAGCCAGAGUGAAGUGGCUUAAGAGAGCAGGAUUGGAGGCAAACUUCUUGGGCUGCAUCCCAGUUCUGUCAAACAGCACACUGUUUGACUUCAGGCAAGGUAAUAGAUCUCUCUGCAUCUGUGUUCUCAGCCACAAAAUGAAGACAUCAUUUUGAGCAUUUAGAACAAUCCCUGGUUCAAUGGUGCACAGGUUUAAUAAGUUUUUGUGAAUUUUAUCAAUGAAGUUUUCUUAUAGUUUUGCUCAAGACUUUUUUUGGGUGCAAGGAAUAAAACAUUGACAGCAUGAGUUGAAAGGAGGGGGCAAUGGGACAGGGUGCAGUCUUAAGUAGAGAGUGCAUUAAUGAAUCCAUUGCUGCAUACAAACUAUCCAAAAUUUAGAGAUUUAAAACUACCACCACUGAUUUGCUCAUGAUUUUCUGGGUAUGCAUUUCGGGUUGGGUUCACCGGGCAGCUCUUCUGUGGUCCCUUUCUGGGGUCACUCACAUGGCUGCUUGGCUGGGGCUGGGGGGUACCAGGUGGCCUCAUGCAUGUGACUGGGGGUUGAAGUUGGGUGGCUACCAGCGGGGCCCUCAGCCAGUACCCCAUCCAACUCCAGAGGCAGGAGAUUGAGGCUUCACACAGCAGCAGGAUUCUCAGAACGUUGUGUGAGGGCAGAAGCUGCAAAGCCCUUGAGGUCCAUGGACAGAAACUACCCAAGAUGACUCUGCCACAUUCCACCCAUCAAAGCUAGUCACCAAGCUAGCCCAGAUUCAAGCAGUGGGAAACAGACACCUCCUCUGGCAGCAGGAUGUUAUCAGUCAGCCCAGGCUGCCAUAACAAAAUGCCACUAACUGAGUGGCUUACACCACAGAAAUUCAUUUCUAACAGUU
This is a non-coding RNA of Ictidomys tridecemlineatus (thirteen-lined ground squirrel), 1558 nucleotides long. Lineage: Eukaryota; Metazoa; Chordata; Mammalia; Rodentia; Sciuridae. The record is from RefSeq and is a predicted model, not a curated record.